Molecule: non-coding RNA, 1260 nt
Organism: Podarcis lilfordi (Lilford's wall lizard)
Lineage: Eukaryota; Metazoa; Chordata; Lepidosauria; Squamata; Lacertidae
Source: the annotation of a GenBank genome assembly
UUAAUGGGAUCAGCAGUCCAAGGAGGAGAAGGAAACAGCAGGGGAGAAAUGGUACGGAAGCAGCAGCGGCAGACAGGAAGUGACACUGAGGAUGAGAAAAGGCACAUGUCUGUAUAUAUCUGUAUAUGAGAAUAUUUGCUUCAACCUUACACCCUUCCUUGUUUGCAGGAUCUGAAGCUUACCCUUUUCACCAUUGUGCCUUUUGAAGUUUCUCCUUCCCCCAGUUCUGCUAAAAAGUUCUCUUCAACCACUCCAUCUAGAAUCAACAACUUACAAUUCAGCCCAUUUCCAGUGCGAAAAGGCCAAGAAUAUGAGGAUAAUUCUUGGCUACUGCAGAAGGAAGAUUAUGCCUAGGACUAAGAUUCAUCCUAGUGUUCUUUUCUAUUUUUAUUGAUAAGCCUUUUUGAUGAAAGGGCAGGCCCAGGAAAUUGUGCUCUAGUUAAAGCCAGCAGAAAUAAUGUUUUAUAGACUUUCUAGCUAUGCAACAGUGUUUUAGCUGGUUUUUAUCAGUUAUAUAUCAGUGAAUUUCUAAAUACUUCAACUUGUCUACUUUCAGGUGUCCUUCCUCUACACAUCUCAAAUUUAAGGCCAGCUGUAUCUUCAUUUGAUCGGUUUCCAGCGGGAUCUUGCAAGAAUGCCUAUUUAAUCUUGCUUAUACUAACGAAAAUGGUGAAUUGUUCUCUUGGAUAUGGGAAGGUUCCAAAAUAAUGUUAAAGCAAGCUACAAUAAUUCAUUUGUUUGAUUUUGUGUGUGUCUGUGAAUAGCUUUUCUAGUAAGUAAUCGGGUCAUAUUUUACAGUUUUGUUAAGAAGAUGGAAACGUUUAUUUAAAGUCUUUCUUUUUUUUAACAUAUCUCAUAACACUGGAAUGGUCCUGUAAAAAGUUCAUAGUAUUGUUAAUUUGUAGAGUUGAACAGACCAAGUAUAUCUACCCUAUGGAGAAAUUAAAUGGGUGGUUUCCAAUAUCAGCCAUUCUCAGAGUAAACCUAUAAAAAUAAAUGGAUAUAAGUAAUGUAAGACCAUUGAUAUUCAUGGUUGUACUCUACCUGUGACACAUGUUGGAUACCACCCCCUCCUUUUGCACAUUUUCUAUACAAUUAAGAAGAACUAUUGUCUCCCUGCUUAUUUAACUUAUAUGCAGAAUUCAUCAUGUGAAAGGCUGGGCUGGAUGAAUCCCUAGCCGGAAUUAAGAUUGCUGGAAGAAAUAUCAACAACCUCAGAUAUGCAGAUGACACAACCUUGAUGGCAGAAAGUGAGGAGGA